ACCCUGUCUGUGGCCAUUGGUUAGGGACAACAACCCCCUAGCAUCAUGGCCGCAUUCUUGGGGGAAACAUCCCCUAUCCAUGAGAUGGCAUUGCGAGUGAGAUGCCAACACUGAGGGUGGGUCAAUGAGAGCUACUUUCAAUUGUGAGCGCUGCCGGUGUCAUUUUGGGCACCUGGCCCAUCACCUCGCUCAAAAAUGUGUCCUCCACACUUUUAACCAUGGAAAGGAGCUAAAUGGGAUAUGAGUGUGACACUUGGGGAGGCUCUGCUGCAGGCUACGAGAAUGCAAUGGAGGAGCUAACUUCCUCUAGUAGUGCAGGCGACAGCUGAUUGAUUGCACGUCGCGCCGGAAGUGCCUCGUUGAUAUCCUCCCAUUUCAUCCGUCCUAGCCCUCCCCCGCGAAGAGUGGAGAAUUCCGCUAACUAGCAGGCAAUCCUUCAUAGGGAAGUUUCCACUGUCCCUAUUUCGAGAUGCGGUAGUCACCCAAAGAUUAGUGUGCUUUUUUUUUCCCCAUCUUCGGCAUAUUUUUCUCGGUAGUCAUAUCUCAUGGCAACGCCGCCGAUUCCAACGCUGAAUCUUAUUGGGUUCGCAAAGUCCAUCUCUAUAUCCACACCAUCAAGAAUCGUAGAGGUCAUGGGAAUCUGGUCUUCGCUCGUGGGCCCACCGCUCCUGCAUCUUCUAAUUUUUAUCACCCACCAAUCGUAAACAGUGCCAUAUCCCUCAAUCUGCAUCGAGCCGAUCAUUAGUAUGGGUCACUUUUAAUUGUAUAUAAAGCCUGACGUCCUCCCACCUUGUACUCAUCACUCCAUCUUCCUAAUGGUACCUGACGUCCAGAACGAUAAUUCCCACGCACGCGAAGUUCCAACAAAGAAUUCAAAAUGGCUC
Molecule: small RNA, 884 nt
Filed under: Histoplasma capsulatum
Lineage: Eukaryota; Fungi; Ascomycota; Eurotiomycetes; Onygenales; Ajellomycetaceae
Also listed under: 1 other name
Description: hypothetical RNA
Source: RNAcentral